Molecule: ribosomal RNA, 253 nt
Filed under: uncultured bacterium
Lineage: Bacteria
Description: partial 16S ribosomal RNA
Rfam family: Archaeal small subunit ribosomal RNA
Source: RNAcentral
UACCAUCACCCCGAGUGGUCGGGACGAUUAUUGGGCCUAAAGCAUCCGUAGCCGGUCCUGCAAGUCUUCCGUUAAAUCCAGCUGCUCAACAGAUGGGCUGCGGGGGAUACUACAGGGCUAGGAGGCGGGAGAGGCAAGCGGUACUUUAUGGGUAGGGGUAAAAUCCGUUGAUCCAUAGAAGACCACCAGUGGCGAAGGCGGCUUGCCAGAACGCGCUCGACGGUGAGGGAUGAAAGCUGGGGGAGCAAACCGG